UACAGGGGCCUCGAGCGUUAGGCGGAAUCACUGGGCUUAAAGCGUGUGUAGGCGGACUUCUAAGUACCUUGUGAAAUCCCACGGCUCACCCGUGGAACUGCUCGGUAUACUGGUCGUCUUGAGCCUUCUAGGGGCGAGUGGAACAAAUGGUGGAGCGGUGAAAUGCGUAGAUAUCAUUUGGAACGCCAAUGGUGAAAACAACUCGCUGGGGAAGUGCUGACGCUGAGACACGAAAGCCAGGGGAGCGAACGGG
This 253-nucleotide ribosomal RNA is filed under the name uncultured bacterium. RNAcentral describes it as "partial 16S ribosomal RNA". It matches the Rfam family "Bacterial small subunit ribosomal RNA", at positions 524 to 776 of the family's 1533-position model. The record is from RNAcentral.